CGGUUUUAACCCGGAGAAGGUGGGGUGACUUCAAGUCCCCAUGGCCUUUCGGGCUGGGCUCACCCCUGCUACAAUUGGAAACUACAGUGGGCAGCAAUCCCGCGAGGGUGAGCUAAUCUCCAAAAGUUCUCUCCAUUCGGAAUGUUCUCUGCACUCGAGAGCAUGAAGGCGGAAUUGCUUGUAAUCGCGGAUCAGCAUGCCGCGGUGAAUACGUUCCCAGGCCUUGUACACACCGCCCGUCACACCAUGGGAGUUGGAUUCACCCCGAAAGGCGUCGCGCUAACCGCAGAGUAUGACACCUCGCCCACCACGUAGCAAGA
Molecule: ribosomal RNA, 320 nt
Filed under: Sphingomonas dokdonensis
Lineage: Bacteria; Pseudomonadati; Pseudomonadota; Alphaproteobacteria; Sphingomonadales; Sphingomonadaceae
Description: bacterial SSU rRNA
Rfam family: Bacterial small subunit ribosomal RNA
Source: RNAcentral